RNAcentral lists this ribosomal RNA (843 nucleotides) under Glutamicibacter protophormiae. RNAcentral's name for it is "bacterial SSU rRNA". It matches the Rfam family "Bacterial small subunit ribosomal RNA", at positions 12 to 864 of the family's 1533-position model. Lineage: Bacteria; Bacillati; Actinomycetota; Actinomycetes; Micrococcales; Micrococcaceae. The record is from RNAcentral.
UUUGAACCUGGCUCAGGAUGAACGCUGGCGGCGUGCUUAACACAUGCAAGUCGAACGAUGAAGCCGAAGCUUGCUUUGGUGGAUUAGUGGCGAACGGGUGAGUAACACGUGAGUAACCUGCCCCUGACUCUGGGAUAAGCCUGGGAAACUGGGUCUAAUACCGGGAUAUGACCAUGGAACGCAUGUUCUGUGGUGGAAAGAUUUAUCGGUUGGGGAUGGACUCGCGGCCUAUCAGCUUGUUGGUGAGGUAAUGGCUCACCAAGGCGACGACGGGUAGCCGGCCUGAGAGGGUGACCGGCCACACUGGGACUGAGACACGGCCCAGACUCCUACGGGAGGCAGCAGUGGGGAAUAUUGCACAAUGGGCGAAAGCCUGAUGCAGCGACGCCGCGUGAGGGAUGACGGCCUUCGGGUUGUAAACCUCUUUCAGUAGGGAAGAAGCGAGAGUGACGGUACCUGCAGAAGAAGCGCCGGCUAACUACGUGCCAGCAGCCGCGGUAAUACGUAGGGCGCAAGCGUUAUCCGGAUUUAUUGGGCGUAAAGAGCUCGUAGGCGGUUUGUCGCGUCUGCCGUGAAAGUCCGAGGCUCAACCUCGGAUCUGCGGUGGGUACGGGCAGACUAGAGUGAUGUAGGGGAGACUGGAAUUCCUGGUGUAGCGGUGAAAUGCGCAGAUAUCAGGAGGAACACCGAUGGCGAAGGCAGGUCUCUGGGCAUUUACUGACGCUGAGGAGCGAAAGCAUGGGGAGCGAACAGGAUUAGAUACCCUGGUAGUCCAUGCCGUAAACGUUGGGCACUAGGUGUGGGGGACAUUCCACGUUUUCCGCGCCGUAGCUAACGCAUAAG